RNAcentral lists this ribosomal RNA (478 nucleotides) under uncultured Methanosaeta sp. RNAcentral's name for it is "bacterial SSU rRNA". It matches the Rfam family "Archaeal small subunit ribosomal RNA", at positions 861 to 1338 of the family's 1478-position model. Lineage: Archaea; Methanobacteriati; Methanobacteriota; Methanomicrobia; Methanotrichales; Methanotrichaceae. The record is from RNAcentral.
GGAAUUGACGGGAGAGCACAGCAACGGGAGGAGCGUGCGGUUCAAUUGGAUUCAACGCCGGAAAACUCACCGGGAGCGACGAUUACAUGAAGGUCAGGCCGAUGACUUUGCCGGAUUAGCUGAGAGGUGGUGCAUGGCCGUCGUCAGUUCGUACUGUGAAGCAUCCUGUUAAGUCAGGCAACGAGCGAGACCCACGCCCACAGUUGCCAGCGUACUCUCUGGAGUGACGGGUACACUGUGGGGACCGCCGCUGCUAAAGCGGAGGAAGGAAUGGGCAACGGUAGGUCAGUAUGCCCCGAAUAUCCCGGGCUACAUGCGAGCUACAAUGGUUGGUACAAUGGGUAUCUACCCCGAAAGGGGAUGGAAAUCUCCUAAAGCCAAUCUUAGUCCGGAUUGAGGGCUGCAACUCGCCCCCAUGAAGCCGGAAUCCGUAGUAAUCGCGUUUCAACAGAACGCGGUGAAUACGUCCCUGCUCCUU